GCGAGAGGCGACCGCCAAGCCAGACUUAAAAUCGGCUGGGGGCGACCCCGUGCGGGUUCGAGUCCCGCCCCUCGCACCA
Molecule: transfer RNA, 79 nt
Filed under: Bacillota bacterium
Lineage: Bacteria; Bacillati; Bacillota
Description: Firmicutes bacterium (anaerobic digester metagenome) tRNA-Leu
Source: RNAcentral